AGGGCACCACCAGGAGUGGAGCCUGCGGCUUAAUUUGACUCAACACGGGAAAACUCACCCGGCCCGGACACUGUAAGGAUUGACAGACUGAGAGCUCUUUCUUAAUUCAGUGGGUGGUGGUGCAUGGCCGUUCUUAGUUGGUGGAGCGAUUUGUCUGGUUAAUUCCGAUAACGAACGAGACUCUGGCCUAUUAAAUAGACGAGGUAUUUACAUGUAUCUCGCGCUUCUUAGAGGGACAAGCGGCGUCUAGUCGCAUGAAAAAGAGCUUUUUUUUGUCUGUGAUGCCCUUAGAUGUCUGGGGCUGCACGCGCGCUACACUGAAAGAAUCAGCGUGCAUUUAAACCUAGUCCGGAAGGACCGGGUAACCCAAGUAAAUUCUUUCGUGCUUGGGAUAGGGAAUUGCAAUUAUUUCCCUUAAACGAGGAAUUCCCAGUAAAUGCGGGUCAUAAGCUCGCGUUGAUUUACGUCCCUGCCCUUUGUACACACCGCCCGUCGCUACUACCGAUUGAAUGGCUUAAU
Molecule: ribosomal RNA, 519 nt
Filed under: uncultured eukaryote
Lineage: Eukaryota
Description: SSU rRNA
Rfam family: Eukaryotic small subunit ribosomal RNA
Source: RNAcentral